GACGAACGCUGGCGGCGUGCCUAAUACAUGCAAGUAGAACGCUGAAGAGAGGAGCUUGCUCUUCUUGGAUGAGUUGCGAACGGGUGAGUAACGCGUAGGUAACCUGCCUGGUAGCGGGGGAUAACUAUUGGAAACGAUAGCUAAUACCGCAUAAAAUGGAUUAUCGCAUGAUAAUCCAUUGAAAGGUGCAAAUGCAUCACUACCAGAUGGACCUGCUUUGUAUUAGCUAGUUGGUGGGGUAACGGCUCACCAAGGCGACGAUACAUAGCCGACCUGAGAGGGUGGUCGGCCAAACUGGGACUGAGACACGGCCCAGGCUCCUACGGGAGGCAGCAGUAGGGAAUCGUCGGCAAUAGACGGAAGUCUGACCGAGCAACGCCGCGUGAGUGAAGAAGGUUUUCGGAUCGUAAAGCUCUGUUGUAAGAGAAGAACGAGUGUGGGAGUGGAAAGUUCACACUGUGACGGUAUCUUACCAGAAAGGGACGGCUAACUACGUG
Molecule: ribosomal RNA, 497 nt
Filed under: uncultured bacterium
Lineage: Bacteria
Description: partial 16S ribosomal RNA
Rfam family: Bacterial small subunit ribosomal RNA
Source: RNAcentral